ACGGGUGAGUAACACGUAGGAAUCUACCCUAAAGUGGGGGGUAACUCGAGGAAACUCGAGCUAAUACCGCAUAAUAUCUUCGGAUUAAAGCUAGGGCAACCUGGCGCUUUAGGAGGAGCCUGCGUCUGAUUAGCUAGUUGGUGGGGUAAAGGCCUACCAAGGCGACGAUCAGUAGGUGGUCUGAGAGGAUGAUCACCCACACUGGGACUGAGACACGGCCCAGACUCCUACGGGAGGCAGCAGUGGGGAAUAUUGGACAAUGGGGGCAACCCUGAUCCAGCAAUGCCGCGUGUGUGAAGAAGGCCUUCGGGUUGUAAAGCACUUUAGGCGGGGAAGAAGAUUAGUAGUUUAAGAGAUAGCUAAUUUGACGGUACCCGCAGAAUAAGCACCGGCUAACUCUGUGCCAGCAGCCGCGGUAAUACAGAGGGUGCAAGCGUUAAUCGGAUUUACUGGGCGUAAAGGGCGCGUAGGUGGUUAUGUAAGUGAGAUGUGAAAUCCCCGGGCUUAACCUGGGAACUGCGUCUUAUACUGCAUAGCUUGAGUACAUGAGAGGGUAGUGGAAUUUCCGGUGUAGC
Molecule: ribosomal RNA, 575 nt
Filed under: uncultured Gammaproteobacteria bacterium
Lineage: Bacteria; Pseudomonadati; Pseudomonadota; Gammaproteobacteria
Description: bacterial SSU rRNA
Rfam family: Bacterial small subunit ribosomal RNA
Source: RNAcentral